Molecule: ribosomal RNA, 495 nt
Filed under: uncultured bacterium
Lineage: Bacteria
Description: partial 16S ribosomal RNA
Rfam family: Bacterial small subunit ribosomal RNA
Source: RNAcentral
GAUGAACGCUGGCGGCGUGCCUAAUACAUGCAAGUAGAACGCUGAAGGAGGAGCUUGCUCUUCUGGAUGAGUUGCGAACGGGUGAGUAACGCGUAGGUAACCUGCCUGGUAGCGGGGGAUAACUAUUGGAAACGAUAGCUAAUACCGCAUGACAACAGUUAUUGCAUGAUAACUGUUUAAAAGGGGCAACUGCUCCACUACCAGAUGGACCUGCGUUGUAUUAGCUAGUUGGUGAGGUAACGGCUCACCAAGGCGACGAUACAUAGCCGGCCUGGUAGGGGGGUCGGCCACACUGGGACUGAGGAAAGGCCCAGGCUCCCACCGGGGGGAGCAGGAGGGAAUCUUCGGCAAUGGACGGAAGGCUGAACGGGCAACGCCGGGGGAGUGAAGAAGGUUUUCGGAUCGUUAAGACCUGGUGUAAGGGAAGAACGAGUGUGGGAGUGGAAAGUUCACGCUGUGACGGUAUCUUACCAGAAAGGGACGGCUAACUACGUG